RNAcentral lists this ribosomal RNA (324 nucleotides) under uncultured bacterium. RNAcentral describes it as "bacterial SSU rRNA". It matches the Rfam family "Bacterial small subunit ribosomal RNA", at positions 28 to 334 of the family's 1533-position model. The record is from RNAcentral.
GAUGAACGCUGGCGGCGUGCUUAACACAUGCAAGUCGAACGGGGUACCCUUGACAGAGACUUCGGUCAAUUGAUAGGAAUACCUAGUGGCGGACGGGUGAGUAACGCGUGAGGAACCUGCCUUGGAGUGGGGAAUAACAACUGGAAACAGUUGCUAAUACCGCAUAAUGCAACGCAGUCGCAUGGCUGUGUUGCCAAAGAUUUAUCGCUCUGAGAUGGCCUCGCGUCUGAUUAGAUAGUUGGCGGGGUAACGGCCCACCAAGUCGACGAUCAGUAGCCGGACUGAGAGGUUGGCCGGCCACAUUGGGACUGAGACACGGCCCAG